Molecule: ribosomal RNA, 253 nt
Filed under: uncultured bacterium
Lineage: Bacteria
Description: partial 16S ribosomal RNA
Rfam family: Bacterial small subunit ribosomal RNA
Source: RNAcentral
UACAGAGGUCUCAAGCGUUGUUCGGAUUCAUUGGGCGUAAAGGGUGCGUAGGCGGCGCGGUAAGUCGGAUGUGAAAUCUCGGAGCUUAACUCCGAAACUGCAUUCGAUACUGCCGUGCUUGAGGACUGGAGAGGAGACUGGAAUUUACGGUGUAGCGGUGAAAUGCGUAGAUAUCGUAAGGAAGACCAGUGGCGAAGGCGGGUCUCUGGACGGUGACUGACGCUGAGACGCGAAAGCGUGGGGAGCAAACAGG